GGGAUUACCUCAGUAACGGCGAGUGAAGCGGUAACAGCUCAAAUUUGAAAGCUAGCUCUUCUAGGGUUCGCAUUGUAAUUUGUAGAAGAUGCUUCGAGUGUGGCCCCGGUCUAAGUUCCUUGGAACAGGACGUCAUAGAGGGUGAGAAUCCCGUAUGUGACUGGGUGCUUUCGCUCAUGUGAAGCUCUUUCGACGAGUCGAGUUGUUUGGGAAUGCAGCUCAAAAUGGGUGGUAAAUUUCAUCUAAAGCUAAAUAUUGGCCAGAGACCGAUAGCGCACAAGUAGAGUGAUCGAAAGAUGAAAAGCACUUUGGAAAGAGAGUUAAACAGUACGUGAAAUUGUUGAAAGGGAAGCGCUUGCAACCAGACUUGCGCGCUGAUGAUCAUCCUGACUUCUGUCUGGUGCACUCGUCUGCGCUCAGGCCAGCAUCGGUUUCGGUGGUGGGAUAAAGGCCUUGGGAAUGUAGCUACUCUCGGGUAGUGUUAUAGCCCUCGGUGCAAUGCCGCCUACCGGGACCGAGGACCGCGCUUCGGCUAGGAUGCUGGCGUAAUGGUUGUAAGCGACCCGUCUUGAAACACGGACCAAGGAGUCUAACAUCUAUGCGAGUGUUUGGGUGUCAAACCCAUACGCGUAAUGAAAGUGAACGGAGGUGAGAACCCUUAAAGGUGCAUCAUCGACCGAUCCUGAUGUCUUCGGAUGGAUUUGAGUAAGAGCAUAGCUGUUGGGACCCGAAAGAUGGUGAACUAUGCGUGAAUAGGAUGAAGCCAGAGGAAACUCUGGUGGAGGCUCGCAGCGGUUCUGACGUGCAAAUCGAUCGUCAAAUUGCGUAUA
RNAcentral lists this ribosomal RNA (830 nucleotides) under Tricladium sp. VG 68-1. Its description in RNAcentral is "eukaryotic LSU rRNA". It matches the Rfam family "Eukaryotic large subunit ribosomal RNA", at positions 71 to 919 of the family's 3401-position model. Lineage: Eukaryota; Fungi; Ascomycota; Leotiomycetes; Helotiales; Tricladiaceae. The record is from RNAcentral.